CUACGGGCGGCUGCAGUAGGGAAUCUUGCGCAAUGGGCGAAAGCCUGACGCAGCCAUGCCGCGUGAAUGAUGAAGGUCUUAGGAUUGUAAAAUUCUUUCACCGGGGAAGAUAAUGACGGUACCCGGAGAAGAAGCCCCGGCUAACUUCGUGCCAGCAGCCGCGGUAAUACGAAGGGGGCUAGCGUUGCUCGGAAUUACUGGGCGUAAAGGGCGCGUAGGCGGACAGUUUAGUCAGAGGUGAAAGCCCAGGGCUCAACCUUGGAAUUGCCUUUGAUACUGGCUGUCUUGAGUUCGGGAGAGGUGAGUGGAAUGCCGAGUGUAGAGGUGAGAUUCGUAGAUAUUCGGCGGAACACCAGUGGCGAAGGCGACUCACUGGCCCGAUACUGACGCUGAGGCGCGAAAGCGUGGGGAGCAAACAGGAUUAGAUACCCCCGUAGUC
RNAcentral lists this ribosomal RNA (439 nucleotides) under uncultured bacterium. RNAcentral's name for it is "partial 16S ribosomal RNA". It matches the Rfam family "Bacterial small subunit ribosomal RNA", at positions 339 to 795 of the family's 1533-position model. The record is from RNAcentral.